CCUACGGGAGGCUGCAGUGAGGAAUAUUGGUCAAUGGGCGGAAGCCUGAACCAGCCAAGUCGCGUGAGGGAUUAAGGCCCUGCGGGUCGUAAACCUCUUUUGCCGGGGAGCAGUGGUCCGGACGCGUCCGGACCGGGAGAGUACCCGGAGAAAAAGCAUCGGCUAACUCCGUGCCAGCAGCCGCGGUAAUACGGAGGAUGCGAGCGUUAUCCGGAUUUAUUGGGUUUAAAGGGUGCGUAGGCGGGCAUUUAAGCCGGCGGUCAAAUGUCGGGGCUCAACCCCGGCCUGCCGUCGGAACUGGGUGCCUUGAGUGGGCGAGAAGUAUGCGGAAUGCGUGGUGUAGCGGUGAAAUGCGUAGAUAUCAGGAGGAAUACCGUUAGCGAAGGCGGCAAUCUGGCUGGAAACUGACGCUGAGGUGCGAAAGCGUGGGUAGCAAACAGGAUUAGAUACCCUUGUAGUC
This 460-nucleotide ribosomal RNA is filed under the name uncultured bacterium. RNAcentral describes it as "partial 16S ribosomal RNA". It matches the Rfam family "Bacterial small subunit ribosomal RNA", at positions 338 to 795 of the family's 1533-position model. The record is from RNAcentral.